GACGAACGCUGGCGGCGUGCCUAAUACAUGCAAGUUGAGCGAUGAAGAUUGGUGCUUGCACCAAUUUGAAGAGCAGCGAACGGGUGAGUAACGCGUGGGGAAUCUGCCUUUGAGCGGGGGACAACAUUUGGAAACGAAUGCUAAUACCGCAUAACAACUUUAAACAUAAGUUUUAAGUUUGAAAGAUGCAAUUGCAUCACUCAAAGAUGAUCCCGCGUUGUAUUAGCUAGUUGGUGAGGUAAAGGCUCACCAAGGCGAUGAUACAUAGCCGACCUGAGAGGGUGAUCGGCCACAUUGGGACUGAGACACGGCCCAAACUCCUACGGGAGGCAGCAGUAGGGAAUCUUCGGCAAUAGACGAAAGUCUGACCGAGCAACGCCGCGUGAGUGAAGAAGGUUUUCGGAUCGUAAAACUCUGUUGGUAGAGAAGAACGUUGGUGAGAGUGGAAAGCUCAUCAAGUGACGGUAACUAACCAGAAAGGGACGGCUAACUACGUG
RNAcentral lists this ribosomal RNA (497 nucleotides) under uncultured bacterium. RNAcentral describes it as "partial 16S ribosomal RNA". It matches the Rfam family "Bacterial small subunit ribosomal RNA", at positions 28 to 507 of the family's 1533-position model. The record is from RNAcentral.